RNAcentral lists this ribosomal RNA (756 nucleotides) under uncultured organism. Its description in RNAcentral is "SSU rRNA". It matches the Rfam family "Bacterial small subunit ribosomal RNA", at positions 54 to 800 of the family's 1533-position model. The record is from RNAcentral.
CAUGCAAGUCGAGGGGCAUCAGGAAGAAAGCUUGCUUUCUUUGCUGGCGACCGGCGCACGGGUGAGUAACACGUAUCCAACCUGCCCUUUACUCGGGGAUAGCCUUUCGAAAGAAAGAUUAAUACCCGAUAGCAUAAUGAUUCCGCAUGGUUUCAUUAUUAAAGGAUUCCGGUAAAGGAUGGGGAUGCGUUCCAUUAGGUUGUUGGUGAGGUAACGGCUCACCAAGCCUUCGAUGGAUAGGGGUUCUGAGAGGAAAGUCCCCCACAUUGGAACUGAGACACGGUCCAAACUCCUACGGGAGGCAGCAGUGAGGAAUAUUGGUCAAUGGGCGCUAGCCUGAACCAGCCAAGUAGCGUGAAGGAUGAAGGCUCUAUGGGUCGUAAACUUCUUUUAUAUAAGAAUAAAGUGCAGUAUGUAUACUGUUUUGUAUGUAUUAUAUGAAUAAGGAUCGGCUAACUCCGUGCCAGCAGCCGCGGUAAUACGGAGGAUCCGAGCGUUAUCCGGAUUUAUUGGGUUUAAAGGGAGCGUAGGUGGACUGGUAAGUCAGUUGUGAAAGUUUGCGGCUCAACCGUAAAAUUGCAGUUGAUACUGUCAGUCUUGAGUACAGUAGAGGUGGGCGGAAUUCGUGGUGUAGCGGUGAAAUGCUUAGAUAUCACGAAGAACUCCGAUUGCGAAGGCAGCUCACUGGACUGCAACUGACACUGAUGCUCGAAAGUGUGGGUAUCAAACAGGAUUAGAUACCCUGGUAGUCCACAC